Thunnus maccoyii (southern bluefin tuna) is the source of this 6277-nucleotide RNA transcript. It is a transcript of the gene named mitogen-activated protein kinase kinase 7, with no coding region annotated. NCBI's taxonomy places the organism in Eukaryota, Metazoa, Chordata, Actinopteri, Scombriformes, Scombridae. The transcript is spliced from 13 exons. The record is from RefSeq and is a predicted model, not a curated record.
GUGUGUGAGUGUGAGUGUGUGUUUCAGUGUGUGAGUGUGAGUGAGUGUGUGUUUCUGUGUGUGUGCUGCUGCCUGCCAGAGAGGGGAGUCGAGAGCUCUGCUGGGAACUACAUGGUGCUCAAUUUUUCAAGAUGUCGUCGCUGGAGCAGAGGCUGUCGCGAAUCGAGGAGAAACUAAAGCAGGAAAAUGAAGAAGCUCGCCGGAGAAUCGACCUCAACAUCGACAUGAGUCCACAGAGAUCACGUCCGAGGCCAAUCAUCGUGAUCCAGCUCAGUCCUGCUCCAGCCCCUUCCCAGCGUGCAGCGCUUCAGCUGCCCCUGGCCAACGAUGGAGGCAGCCGGUCAUCGUCUUCAGAGAGCUCGCCUCAGCACCACCCCUACCCCAGCCGCCCGAGACACAUGCUCACCCUGCCCACACCUCCGUACGGCCUACAGAAGAGCCUAGAGAAUGCAGAGAUUGACCAGAAACUGCAGGAGAUCAUGAAACAGACGGGUUAUCUGAAGAUCGACGGUCAGAGGUAUCCAGCAGAGGUGACAGACCUGAUCAGUGAGGGUGAGAUCGGCAGCGGCACCUGUGGACAGGUCUUCAAAGUGCGAUUCAAGAAGACGGGCCACGUCAUCGCUGUCAAACAAAUGCGUCGUACAGGUAACAAAGAUGAGAACAAGAGGAUCCUGAUGGACCUGGAUGUGGUGCUGAAGAGUCACGACUGCCCUUACAUCAUCCAGUGCUACGGCGCCAUAGUUACCAAUACGGAUGUAUUCAUUGCCAUGGAGCUGAUGGGAACGUGUGCUGAAAAGCUGAAGAAGAGAAUCCAAGGCCCCAUCCCUGAGCGAAUCCUAGGAAAGAUGACAGUGGCAAUAGUGAAGGCGUUGCUGUACCUGAAAGAGAAACACGGUGUCAUCCACCGAGAUGUCAAACCCUCCAACAUCCUUCUGGAUGCUAAAGGUCAGAUCAAACUGUGCGACUUUGGCAUCAGCGGACGCCUUGUCGACUCCAAGGCAAAGACCCGCAGCGCCGGCUGCGCUGCCUACAUGGCGCCUGAAAGAAUAGACCCUCCAGAUCCAACCAAACCUGACUAUGAUAUCCGAGCAGACGUGUGGAGCCUCGGCAUCUCUCUGGUGGAGCUGGCCACAGGACAGUUUCCCUACAAGAACUGCAAGACAGACUUUGAGGUUCUGACCAAAGUGCUGCAGGAAGAUCCUCCUCUGCUGCCUCUCAGCAUGGGCUUCUCCCUCGACUUCCAGUCCUUCGUCAAAGACUGCCUCACAAAGGAUCACAGAAAAAGGCCAAAAUACCACCAGCUGCUGGAGCAUAGUUUCAUCCGGCGUUACGAGGUGCUGGAGGUGGACGUGGCCGGUUGGUUCCAGACAGUGAUGGAUCGCACCGAGUCGCCUCGCAGCAGCCAGUGUUACAGCCAUCAGCACCAGCUCCACUCGCUCUUCAGUAGGUAGCCUAGCCUAGCCCAGCCCAGCCCGGCGUUAGCUUAGCCCUACGCUAGUCUAGCCUAGCUUUAGCUUCGCCAAGCCCAGACUUAGUCUGCCCUAGUCUAGCCCAGCGUUAGCAGCUAAGCCUAGCCUUAGACCCAGCCCGCCUGGCCAUCUGUCCACUGGAGAACCUGAAGAGCCCUCAGAGGAGGGCGAGACGGAGACUCGAUGGAUGGACGGAUGGAUGAUUGUCGGAGAGAUGGACUGAUGGAUGGAUGGAUGGAUGACACAGGUGGUUCUGUUUAUCAGUGUGUUGAAUCUGGACGGGCAGACAUGGGAAGGAGGGAACAGAGAAAAAGAAAGAAUUUGCUGACCUAAAAGAGCGUUUAUAAGAGAUGGAAGUAUACUAAGAAGAGAAAAGAGGAAGUAGAAGAAGAGGGGUUAUAGUUUCUAUGACCAUUCGGAAGACUGAAUAACUGUUACUGGUGGAAACAAGAGAAACGCUGGAGGUGAAAAUGGGAGCAGAGAGCUUUUUUUCGUUCAGAAGGCAAAAGAACAGGAGCUUAUCUUGUACAAAGAAUAUAUAAACGGUGUAGAUCUUAUUACCUGUGGAGCAUUUCUUUACUUCACUCUCCGUUUGUCUACCUCUCCCUCUUUGUCCACCUCUCUGUCUGCCUCUGCUGUUUAGUGUGACGUAGAGCUCCACAGUGUUACCAGACCAAAGGCUGCAUGUAGGUUGUUGUUGUUGUUGUUGUUGUCGCUGUCGUUGGAGGCCGAGAGACUCUGACCUGCUCCUGGAAAAUGUCGAACAUUGAGAGGACGCACAGUCUUGAUAAAGCAGGCUGUGAUGUUUUUAGGGUCUCAAACUACCAGCCUGCGGGGCCACUAGAUCACAAAGCCGCCCACAUGUUUAGAAUUGAUUUGUCUUAUGGGGCCAUAAACCAUCAAAGGCUUUUUUGUUUUAUUCUAUCCAUAAAUCUCUUUUCUCACUCUUUCAGGACUAUUUUAAAGUGUUGCAACUAACAGUUUUAAUGUUUUCAUUAUUGAUUCAUCUCCUAAACAAUGAAUGAAUCAUUCAGUCUACUACAUUUCAGACGUUUCAAAGGAAAGCAUUUCAAAGCAAACUAUGUUUUUAUGCGGUCCCACCAGGAGGAAAAACAUCGUGGUUAACAGUCCCCCGGGCAGUUUGACAUUGAGACCUCUGACCUAGAAGAUUGCUAAAAUGAAAUUGAGUGUGUCAGGCUCUGUAAAGCAUCUGAACUAGUCGGGGUGUUGUGAAACUGUUAUGUGUAGAUGUACUUUAAUGAGCGCAGAGCAGUCACAGCCAAAGCCUGCUAGACGUGCAGACUCGAACCUCCCCCCUCUCCCCCCCCUCCCCCCGUCACGCACCGAACCAAAUCACUGCUAGACACAGAGAACUGAGGAGCGGCAGCGAUAGAGAGAGGAAACCGUUAAGUGUCCGAGAGAGAGAGAGAGAGAGAGAGAUAGAGAGAGAGAUCCAGGAAUGUUGUCAAGAUGGCAGAAAAGAUGAAACGAAACGACAGGAAAAAGAGAGGAUGAGGACAGCGUGAGGUAAGAAAGAAGGGAUUGCUAAGAAAGUGAGAUGGGAAGUUAAAAGGAAAGUCAUGUGAUUGAUACAGACGACAGGAAGUAAAGUUUGUGAGAGAGGAGAGCAGAAAACAUCGGCUCUGAGGCUAGCUAGUUAUUGUAAAAAGCUUUCAUGGUGUUACACCAACCUACCAAUUCUGAUUUUAGCGAGCGAGUUAGCGUGUUUAUGAUGUUUACUGUUCUGUUCAAAUCAUGUUAUUUAUUUACAUUGCUACUGCUGCUACUUUUUUUAUUGCUUUAGACGCUGCUGUCACUUCUUUUCCCCAAAGGACAAAUACUUUAUUCUUUUUUUUUUUUUUUUUUUCUUUUAAGCCAAAUAAGUGAAAUAAUGCAAUGUCUACACAUGUUACCAAAUACAGAAGAGCAAGUCUGAAGAAGGUGAAAGCAAGUGAGCGAUGGCAGGACGGAUGAAGGGAGGUCGGCUUCACAGAAAGUACUAACUCACACACGAAAUAUAAACACACAGCUCACCUCAAAUGUAGCUCUAUGUGUAAAGGAAGCAGUUAAUCGUUUAUAUCCCAUCGUCACACUACAAAUGUACAGUGUAGAUUUGAUUUGGGGGGGGUGGGGGAGGGGGAGGGGAUGUCUGUCUGUCCAGAUGCUUUUUUGUCACUUCCAUCCUUUCCUCUGUCCAUCCAUCCCUCCAUCUGUCCACAGGUCGCCUACAAGCUUGACAACCUUGACAGUUCACACCAAAGGUGUCCACAACUCGACGAAAUACGAAAGAGCGUUGUUGUUAUUGUUAUGACUAUUGUUAUUGACAUUAUAAUUGAUUACUCUCAGCUAUGAUAUGUAUGAAAUCUCUUUUAUAGCUAGCGGGAGAAGGCGUAGGGGCGGCGCUGUAGUGCAGCAGUGCCUGUGUGUGUGUGUGUGUGUGUGUGUGUGUGUGUGUGUGUGUGUGUGUGUGUGUGUGUGUGUGUGUGUGUGUGUGUGUGUCAUAUAUAUUGUACAGGGGGAGACUGGUGCAUUAACACACGACAAGGGCCGAGCAAUAAAACCAGCUGGUUCGUUCUUCUACUCAGUGAAUCAAACUCAACAAAGCGGCCUGUAUCAGGAAGCAAGUUCAACUUAUUCUGGCUCUCUUUGGGCUUCACUGACCCACCGACCCGAUCACAAAGCUGAGUAGAAACUAGCUCAGUUAACUCAGAGUCAGUUGAUCCACCUACAGACCUACUGUCGGAGGGAUGAACACCAUUCUUCCAAAAGAUAUUCCCUCAUUUGGGGUUUUGAUCUGUAAGGCUAAGGUUAAAAAUAAAUGUGGAAAUUGUCAUAAAUUUAAGUCACAAGAGAUUUUAACAGUAAAAAUUGAAGCAGCAGAGGUAGAAAUCCCCUGACUUUAAGUUCCAGAGCGUGGGUGGAGCUCCAGAAACUCUGCAUCCUCAGAAGCUAUUUUAUCAAACUUUGGAAAGCACCUGAAUUCCUUGUGACGUGUGAACUGAACGGUGUAGUUCACCGUUAAAUACCGCUGGCAUAUUCAACAUGUUGAUCAGAUAAAGUGACGGAUCUAGAGCGUAAAAGCAGUGUGCCAAAUACAGGGGUCUCUAACUGACAGCUGGGACCCCCUCAAACACUCAAAACUCAAUUUUAGGGGGGGUCUCAAUAAUGUGUCUAGUUAUAUAUUUUUUUUAUUUAUCUAAACAGUGCAGUUUAUUUGUAUGUAACUUCUAAACUCAGUGGACACGUGGUUGUCUCAAAAAAACAAUCUGACAUAAUUAUCAUGGAAAUCAAAGUAUUUCUACUGACAUGUUAAGAAUGUUGCUUUGUUUCUCUUUAUUACUUAUUUAAUUGUGAACAACCUUUCUGGUUGAUGACUCCAUUUUUCCAGUGACCUGAUUGGUCAGUAGGCGGUCAGUUGGCAGUUUUUGAUUGGAGUGCAGCACAGGUUACCAUGGUGAUCUACCACAAGAUAAAAAAUGAGACAUCCUUGUGACGCUAGAAAACCUGAGUGAAGUCAGAAAGAGAGCCGGAUCAUCCACUCCCGUCUCUUGCUGUUACAGGCCUGUGAGCAGACGUGAUGGCGCGCCGGCACAUCGCCGUUAGCUCGGCCUUUGUCAGGUUUUAAUCUGGAGUCCAGGUUCCCGACCCGGAACUGGUUCAAAGCCACGGUUUACCUUCAACAUUAGCAAAAUCGCUCUGCUGUCGGUUGUCUUGUCUCUUGUAAACUCUCCAAAUAACAGGAUUCAGGGUCAAGACAGAUUUAUAUACACCUGAAUCUGGUGCUUAGCAACCAUCAGCUGCACUGAACUUGCAGCGCAGCGUUACUCGUCGGUGCAGUUUCAAAAACCGUGACUCAAGGAGACGGUGCAACGUUCACUGUUUGUGUCUCCAAAAACACAAAGCUAGACCCAGUCUCCCGCUGUCGAGAUCCUCCGUUGUUAAGCUGUAUUUUACAAAAAAAAAAAACACACGCACACACUCGCUCAACCGUGCUGUCUGUGUGCGUUUCCAUCCAAACACCUGAUUGGGUGACGCUGCACCUCUGUGAAACCAGGUCAGGCAAGGUGUGCAUCUGCUCAGAACGACUGUCAGUGUGUGUGUGUGCCGGGAAGCAAAACAUCACUCAUGUACACACACACACCCACACCAAAUGUAUAAAAGUUAUCCCAUCCUACACAGCGAUGCUGGCUACUGCCAAUAGUGGCUUUAUGUGUAUAUUAGCUUGCCAGGUGCGAGGCCAGCGCUGUAUUAAAAACAGUAAAGCUAGCUCAUAGCGUGUACCUGCGCUGUGCCUUGGCACCGAAGGGGGAGUGUGUGUGUGUGUGCGUGUGUGUGCGCGCGUGUGUUUGUGUGUGUGUGUCGUAACCCCAUCUGUAAGUAAACCAAAUAUCAUUUUCACUAUGCAGUCAUUCAAACCAUGUCGGCUUGCUUCAACGAGGGAAAAAAAGCCUCCUGUACAUACACAGAUUUACGGAUAAACUGGAGUUAGCGACAGUGUGAGAUUUUUUUUUCUUUUCGACUCCCCCCCCCCCUCCCAUUCCCCUCCUCCCCAAGUGUGAUUAACAUCACCGCCUUCAGCUAGUUCACAGAGAAAACAGAGAGCAAGAGAUAUGUUUUGAAUGAGCUGACAAAUAUUUAAGGAUUGUAUCGGGGUCGGGGAGGGACUGGGGUUAGACUGGGGUUUGUAGUUUUUGGGGGGAGGUACAGAUCAAUGCUGUAAAGUAUAUCAAUUGCAUGUUAUUGUCACCGCUAUAACUGCCAUUGUUUUGUUUUUUUUGUUAUUGUUUUUUUUUUCUUCCAAGACAACA